AUACGUAGGGUGCGAGCGUUGUCCGGAAUUACUGGGCGUAAAGAGCUCGUAGGUGGUUUGUCGCGUCGUCUGUGAAAUUCCGGGGCUUAACUCCGGGCGUGCAGGCGAUACGGGCAUAACUUGAGUACUGUAGGGGAGACUGGAAUUCCUGGUGUAGCGGUGAAAUGCGCAGAUAUCAGGAGGAACACCGGUGGCGAAGGCGGGUCUCUGGGCAGUAACUGACGCUGAGGAGCGAAAGCAUAGGUAGCGAACAGGAUUAGAUACCCUGGUAGUCCAUGCCGUAAACGGUGGGCGCUAGGUGUAGGGGUCUUCCACGACUUCUGUGCCGUAGCUAACGCAUUAAGCGCCCCGCCUGGGGAGUACGGCCGCAAGGCUAAAACUCAAAGGAAUUGACGGGG
Molecule: ribosomal RNA, 398 nt
Filed under: uncultured bacterium
Lineage: Bacteria
Description: partial 16S ribosomal RNA
Rfam family: Bacterial small subunit ribosomal RNA
Source: RNAcentral